GAUGUACGCUGGCGGCGUGCUUAACACAUGCAAGUCGAACGAUGAAGCCCAGCUUGCUGGGUGGAUUAGUGGCGAACGGGUGAGUAACACGUGAGUAACCUGCCCUUAACUCUGGGAUAAGCCUGGGAAACUGGGUCUAAUACCGGAUAGGAGCGUCCACCGCAUGGUGGGUGUUGGAAAGAUUUAUCGGUUUUGGAUGGACUCGCGGCCUAUCAGCUUGUUGGUGAGGUAAUGGCUCACCAAGGCGACGACGGGUAGCCGGCCUGAGAGGGUGACCGGCCACACUGGGACUGAGACACGGCCCAGACUCCUACGGGAGGCAGCAGUGGGGAAUAUUGCACAAUGGGCGCAAGCCUGAUGCAGCGACGCCGCGUGAGGGAUGACGGCCUUCGGGUUGUAAACCUCUUUCAGUAGGGAAGAAGCGAAAGUGACGGUACCUGCAGAAGAAGCACCGGCUAACUACGUG
RNAcentral lists this ribosomal RNA (466 nucleotides) under uncultured bacterium. RNAcentral describes it as "partial 16S ribosomal RNA". It matches the Rfam family "Bacterial small subunit ribosomal RNA", at positions 28 to 507 of the family's 1533-position model. The record is from RNAcentral.